This is a long non-coding RNA of Vigna angularis (adzuki bean), 394 nucleotides long. RefSeq lists it as uncharacterized. NCBI's taxonomy places the organism in Eukaryota, Viridiplantae, Streptophyta, Magnoliopsida, Fabales, Fabaceae. The transcript has 2 exons. The record is from RefSeq and is a predicted model, not a curated record.
AUUUAAGUUACAAAAUACUUUUACAUUUGAGAAAGAGAGCAAGCAAGGGUGGUGGUCUAGGAGUAUCAAGAGUGAAGAAUUUCUUGCAAGGAGAAGAGAAACUAUUUCAGAUGAAUUAGCAGAUGGUUCUGGACUUGCUUAGAAGAUGAGAGAUCUGUGGGGAAAAAGGAGACAUUGGGAAUUUCUAAAAUAAAUCGAUGUUUUAAUUUCCGAACUGUGUGAAAUUUUAAAUUUCAGAAGUUUAUGAACUGUGUGGAAUUUUAUUUUCAGAAGACUUGUGUUGUAAUAAAGAACGUAAUAUUUUGUUGGUGUAAAAAAAAAUUAUAUAUGUAUUUUAUGGAAAAUAAAUUGUAACGCCUAAAUCGGGGUGUUACAAUGUAUAGGAUUAAUCUUC